Molecule: ribosomal RNA, 487 nt
Filed under: uncultured bacterium
Lineage: Bacteria
Description: bacterial SSU rRNA
Rfam family: Bacterial small subunit ribosomal RNA
Source: RNAcentral
GAGACGCUGGCGGCGUGGAUUAGGCAUGCAAGUCGAACGGUAGGAUACCUUCGGGUAUCUGAGAGUGGCGAACGGGUGAGUAACACGUAGGUGAUCUACCCUCAAGAUUGGGACAACCCGAGGGAAACUUGGGCUAAUACCGGAUGAAAGCAGCAGUGAUGUUGUUUGAAAGGUGGCGUAAGCUGCCGUUUGGGGAUGAGCCUGCGCUCUAUUAGUUAGUUGGCGGGGUAAAGGCCCACCAAGGCGAUGAUAGAUAGGCGGCCUUAACGGGUGGUCGCCCACACUGGGAUUGAGAUACGGCCCAGACUCCUACGGGAGGCAGCAGUCGAGAAUAGUCUACAAUGGCCGAAAGGCUGAUAGUGCGACGCCGCGUGAACGAAGAAGCCCUUCGGGGUGUAAAGUUCUUUUAUAUGUGAGCAGUGCUUUCUAUGUGAACAGCAUGGGGAGAGAGAUAUUAGCAUAUGAAUAAGCAACGGCUAACUCCGUG